CCACUAUGAUGAAAGUUUUCCUGCCAUUCGUAGUUUCCACCAGAGGUUGUGUAACCAAAGAUGGCCCAACUCCUUCCUUGGAUGUCUGAGUGA
Molecule: small nucleolar RNA, 93 nt
Organism: Myripristis murdjan (pinecone soldierfish)
Lineage: Eukaryota; Metazoa; Chordata; Actinopteri; Holocentriformes; Holocentridae
Product: small nucleolar RNA SNORD14
Exons: 1
Source: RefSeq, a predicted model, not a curated record